Molecule: ribosomal RNA, 443 nt
Filed under: uncultured bacterium
Lineage: Bacteria
Description: partial 16S ribosomal RNA
Rfam family: Bacterial small subunit ribosomal RNA
Source: RNAcentral
CCUACGGGUGGCAGCAGUGGGGAAUAUUGGGCAAUGGAGGAAACUCUGACCCAGCAACGCCGCGUGAAUGAUGAAGGUCUUAGGAUUGUAAAGUUCUUUUCUAAGGGAAGAAGACAGUGAUGGUACCUUAGGAAUAAGCCUCGGCUAACUACGUGCCAGCAGCCGCGGUAAUACGUAGGAGGCAAGCGUUAUCCGGAAUGACUGGGCGUAAAGGGUGCGUAGGUGGUUUGAUAAGUUGGUAGCGUAACUCCGAGGCUCAACCUCGGCACUACUACCAAUACUGUCGGACUUGAGUGCAGGUGGGGCAACUGGAAUGCAUAGUGUAGCGGUGGAAUGCGUAGAGAUUAGGAGGAACACCAGUGGCGAAGGCGAGUUGCUGGACUGUAACUGACACUGAGGCACGAAAGCGUGGGGAGCAAACAGGAUUAGAUACCCUUGUAGUC